GGACGACAGAGAGAAUGUGAACAAAUCAAAGGACCAGUAACUGACGUCAGAUCAGUCCAGCCCAGAUAGRACCACAGGGAAGACCCCACACGGUUCCCUCACUCACCCACACGACGUGGAAACAGUCCAGCACCAGUCCGAUGACC
This is a long non-coding RNA of Austrofundulus limnaeus, 146 nucleotides long. RefSeq lists it as uncharacterized. The record is from RefSeq and is a predicted model, not a curated record. NCBI's taxonomy places the organism in Eukaryota, Metazoa, Chordata, Actinopteri, Cyprinodontiformes, Rivulidae. The transcript has 3 exons.